GAGUUUGAUCCUGGCUCAGAUUGAACGCUGGCGGCAUGCCUUACACAUGCAAGUCGAACGGCAGCACGGGAGCAAUCCUGGUGGCGAGUGGCGAACGGGUGAGUAAUAUAUCGGAACGUGCCCAGUCGUGGGGGAUAACGCAGCGAAAGCUGUGCUAAUACCGCAUACGAUCUACGGAUGAAAGCGGGGGACUCGCAAGGGCCUCGCGCGAUUGGAGCGGCCGAUAUCAGAUUAGCUAGUUGGCGGGGUAAAAGCCCACCAAGGCGACGAUCUGUAGCUGGUCUGAGAGGACGACCAGCCACACUGGAACUGAGACACGUCC
Molecule: ribosomal RNA, 322 nt
Filed under: uncultured beta proteobacterium 391ev
Lineage: Bacteria; Pseudomonadati; Pseudomonadota; Betaproteobacteria
Description: bacterial SSU rRNA
Rfam family: Bacterial small subunit ribosomal RNA
Source: RNAcentral